UACGGAGGGUGCGAGCGUUGUCCGGAUUUAUUGGGUUUAAAGGGUGCGUAGGUGGCUUGUUAAGUCAGUGGUGAAAUACAGCCGCUCAACGGUUGAGGUGCCAUUGAUACUGAUAAGCUUGAAAGAAUUGGAGGCUGCCGGAAUGGAUGGUGUAGCGGUGAAAUGCAUAGAUAUCAUCCAGAACACCGAUUGCGAAGGCAGGUGGCUACGAUUUAUUUGACACUGAGGCACGAAAGCAUGGGGAGCAAACAGG
This 253-nucleotide ribosomal RNA is filed under the name uncultured bacterium. Its description in RNAcentral is "partial 16S ribosomal RNA". It matches the Rfam family "Bacterial small subunit ribosomal RNA", at positions 524 to 776 of the family's 1533-position model. RNAcentral also lists the same sequence under 1 other name. The record is from RNAcentral.